This is a long non-coding RNA of Melozone crissalis (California towhee), 481 nucleotides long. RefSeq lists it as uncharacterized. Lineage: Eukaryota; Metazoa; Chordata; Aves; Passeriformes; Passerellidae. The record is from RefSeq and is a predicted model, not a curated record. The transcript has 4 exons.
UCCUCGCAGCUUUGCUGAAACUGCACAAAAAAGGCAACCGGGGGGGGACACACACGAGGUGAUUUUUUGAUUUUAUUUUUCUCUGGUUAAAAGGCGAAUCCUCCUCCUCCCUUCCUCCCUCUCUCUCCUUCCCUCCCUCUCCCCCCCUCUCUACUGGAAGAUCUUUUUUAUUUUCUCUUGCUGCCUCCUAUGCUGGCAACGUCCUGCGAGCGGCUAUUUUGCUUUUGCACCGAGAGAAGAGCUUCCUCCCUCGCCCUCUCUCCUGACACUUAUGGAUGAAAUCCACACUGGUGUCUAACCUGUAAUGAGUGCCAAUGUUUUGACCUUUCAAUAGAGAGCUGAUUUUGGAGAAUGACUUACUCCUGUGAUUGAAAAACUCUCUGGAAGGUUGAUGGAGCAUGAGCAUGAUAGCCCUGUUAAUUUCCAGAAGUUGUCUGUCAUGACCUGACUAGAAGGCUUAUUGCAAUGGAGGGGCGUGCUU